GGCGGGUGCUAUACAUGCAAGUCGAACGAACUCUGGUAUUGAUUGGUGCUUGCAUCAUGAUUUACAUUUGAGUGAGUGGCGAACUGGUGAGUAACACGUGGGAAACCUGCCCAGAAGCGGGGGAUAACACCUGGAAACAGAUGCUAAUACCGCAUAACAACUUGGACCGCAUGGUCCGAGCUUGAAAGAUGGCUUCGGCUAUCACUUUUGGAUGGUCCCGCGGCGUAUUAGCUAGAUGGUGGGGUAACGGCUCACCAUGGCAAUGAUACGUAGCCGACCUGAGAGGGUAAUCGGCCACAUUGGGACUGAGACACGGCCCAAACUCCUACGGGAGGCAGCAGUAGGGAAUCUUCCACAAUGGACGAAAGUCUGAUGGAGCAACGCCGCGUGAGUGAAGAAGGGUUUCGGCUCGUAAAACUCUGUUGUUAAAGAAGAACAUAUCUGAGAGUAACUGUUCAGGUAUUGACGGUAUUUAACCAGAAAGCCACGGCUAACUACGUGCCAGCAGCCGCGGUAAUACGUAGGUGGCAAGCGUUGUCCGGAUUUAUUGGGCGUAAAGCGAGCGCAGGCGGUUUUUUAAGUCUGAUGUGAAAGCCUUCGGCUCAACCGAAGAAGUGCAUCGGAAACUGGGAAACUUGAGUGCAGAAGAGGACAGUGGAACUCCAUGUGUAGCGGUGAAAUGCGUAGAUAUAUGGAAGAACACCAGUGGCGAAGGCGGCUGUCUGGUCUGUAACUGACGCUGAGGCUCGAAAGUAUGGGUAGCAAACAGGAUUAGAUACCCUGGUAGUCCAUACCGUAAACGAUGAAUGCUAAGUGUUGGAGGGUUUCCGCCCUUCAGUGCUGCAGCUAACGCAUUAAGCAUUCCGCCUGGGGAGUACGGCCGCAAGGCUGAAACUCAAAGGAAUUGACGGGGGCCCGCACAAGCGGUGGAGCAUGUGGUUUAAUUCGAAGCUACGCGAAGAACCUUACCAGGUCUUGACAUACUAUGCAAAUCUAAGAGAUUAGACGUUCCCUUCGGGGACAUGGAUACAGGUGGUGCAUGGUUGUCGUCAGCUCGUGUCGUGAGAUGUUGGGUUAAGUCCCGCAACGAGCGCAACCCUUAUUAUCAGUUGCCAGCAUUAAGUUGGGCACUCUGGUGAGACUGCCGGUGACAAACCGGAGGAAGGUGGGGAUGACGUCAAAUCAUCAUGCCCCUUAUGACCUGGGCUACACACGUGCUACAAUGGAUGGUACAACGAGUUGCGAACUCGCGAGAGUAAGCUAAUCUCUUAAAGCCAUUCUCAGUUCGGAUUGUAGGCUGCAACUCGCCUACAUGAAGUCGGAAUCGCUAGUAAUCGCGGAUCAGCAUGCCGCGGUGAAUACGUUCCCGGGCCUUGUACACACCGCCCGUCACACCAUGAGAGUUUGUAACACCCAAAGUCGGUGGGGUAACCUUUUAGGAACCAGCCGCCUAAGGUGGGACAGAUGAUUAGGGUGAAGUCGUAACAAGACCCUCC
Molecule: ribosomal RNA, 1496 nt
Filed under: Lactiplantibacillus plantarum
Lineage: Bacteria; Bacillati; Bacillota; Bacilli; Lactobacillales; Lactobacillaceae
Description: bacterial SSU rRNA
Rfam family: Bacterial small subunit ribosomal RNA
Source: RNAcentral